ACCUUUGAGUCCAUUGGUC
This 19-nucleotide non-coding RNA is filed under the name Mus musculus (house mouse). Lineage: Eukaryota; Metazoa; Chordata; Mammalia; Rodentia; Muridae. The record is from RNAcentral.